RNAcentral lists this ribosomal RNA (440 nucleotides) under uncultured bacterium. RNAcentral's name for it is "bacterial SSU rRNA". It matches the Rfam family "Bacterial small subunit ribosomal RNA", at positions 8 to 450 of the family's 1533-position model. The record is from RNAcentral.
AGAGUUUGAUCCUGGCUCAGAUUGAACGCUGGCGGCAUGCUUUACACAUGCAAGUCGAACGGUAACAGGGAGCUUGCUCCGCUGACGAGUGGCGAACGGGUGAGUAAUGCAUCGGAACGUACCCAGUCGUGGGGGAUAACGUAGCGAAAGUUACGCUAAUACCGCAUACGUCCUGAGGGAGAAAGCGGGGGACCGUAAGGCCUCGCGCGAUUGGAGCGGCCGAUGUCGGAUUAGCUAGUUGGUAGGGUAAAGGCCUACCAAGGCGACGAUCCGUAGCGGGUCUGAGAGGAUGAUCCGCCACACUGGGACUGAGACACGGCCCAGACUCCUACGGGAGGCAGCAGUGGGGAAUUUUGGACAAUGGGCGAAAGCCUGAUCCAGCCAUGCCGCGUGAGUGAAGAAGGCCUUCGGGUUGUAAAGCUCUUUCAGGUGGAAAGAAA